GCGAACUUGGCGGAAUGGUAGACGCAGGAGACUUAAAAUCUCCAGCCCAUAGGGCGUGCGGGUUCGAGUCCCGCAGUUCGCA
RNAcentral lists this transfer RNA (82 nucleotides) under Acetobacter peroxydans NBRC 13755. RNAcentral describes it as "tRNA-Leu". It matches the Rfam family "tRNA". Rfam says of the family: Transfer RNA (tRNA) molecules are approximately 80 nucleotides in length. The record is from RNAcentral. Lineage: Bacteria; Pseudomonadati; Pseudomonadota; Alphaproteobacteria; Acetobacterales; Acetobacteraceae.